RNAcentral lists this ribosomal RNA (305 nucleotides) under uncultured bacterium. RNAcentral's name for it is "bacterial SSU rRNA". It matches the Rfam family "Bacterial small subunit ribosomal RNA", at positions 333 to 652 of the family's 1533-position model. The record is from RNAcentral.
UUUUUCCUACGGGGCGCAGCAGUGGGGGAUAUUGGACAAUGGGGGAAACCCUGAUCCAGCGACGCCGCGUGAGUGAAGAAGUAUUUCGGUAUGUAAAGCUCUAUCAGCAGGGAAGAAAGAAAUGACGGUACCUGAGUAAGAAGCCCCGGCUAACUACGUGCCAGCAGCCGCGGUAAUACGUAGGGGGCAAGCGUUAUCCGGAAUUACUGGGUGUAAAGGGAGCGUAGACGGUAAUGCAAGUCUGGAGCGAAAGGCGGGGGCCCAACCCCGGGACUGCUCUUGGAACUGCAUGGCUGGAGUACAGG